RNAcentral lists this long non-coding RNA (856 nucleotides) under Citrus sinensis (sweet orange). Its description in RNAcentral is "long non-coding RNA (CSIN_LNC001787)". The record is from RNAcentral. Lineage: Eukaryota; Viridiplantae; Streptophyta; Magnoliopsida; Sapindales; Rutaceae.
UUCAAUAAUAUAUUGAAACAAUUUUUUCUUGUUUCAUUAUCAUAACAAAAUUGUAAAAUCGAUAAUCUCCAGUAUGAGAGAAAAGGCAUGAUUCCAAGGGUAAGAAAAAAAUUAAACACAAAUUAUUAGUUGAUUACAAAAUAAUUCCAAUAAUCCCACCAAAACAAACAAAACCCAAUAAUCAAGAAACCUAAGAUAAUUAUACCAAAAUUUCACUGUAAAAUUCAAUUACAAAAGAAACCCAAACCAAGAAAAUUUAACAAAAGGAACCAAAACUAAAAAACCCUAAAACUAAUUUAACAAAAAUUAAAUUAUAGAGGCAGCGAGAACGGCGGCAACUUCAGGCAGUGGCGUCGGCAGUUUCGUGCAGCAGUGGAGGCAACGAUUUCGAGUAGUGGCAGAUCACGCAGCAUGCGCCAUUUUGUUGUUGUCGAUUCAAGACAGCGGCAGAUCACACCGGCAGAAAAAAUUAAAUUAUAGAGGCAGCGAGAACGGCGGCAACUUCAGUGGCGUCGGCGGUUUCAUGCAGCAGUGGAGGCAACGAUUUCGAGUAGUGGCAGAUCACGCAGCAUGCGCCAUUUUGUUGUUGUCGAUUCAAGACAGCGGCAGAUCACACCGGCAGAAGCUGCAGUGAAAGGCAAGAAGAAGAAGGAGAAGAAGAAGAAAAAAGAAAGAAGAAGAAGAAAGAAAGAAGAAGAAGAAGAAGAAGAUGAAGGCGAAGAAGAAGGAAAAAAGAAAGAAGAUUGAAAGAAAAAAGACGCCAAGAAGAUUGAAAGAAAGAAGAAGAAGAAGAAGAGAAGAAAAAAGGAAACGAGAGAGAGAGAGAAAAGGGGGAAAAAAGAAUGAUAAAAGAGUG